This 100-nucleotide ribosomal RNA is filed under the name Passalora stromatica. RNAcentral's name for it is "partial 28S ribosomal RNA". Lineage: Eukaryota; Fungi; Ascomycota; Dothideomycetes; Mycosphaerellales; Mycosphaerellaceae. The record is from RNAcentral.
GCACAGGUUGACCUCGGAUGCAGGUAGGGAUUCUACCCGCUGAACUUAAGCAUAUCAUAGGGGGGAAGGAAGCUGAACUUAAGCAUAUCAAUAAGCCGGA